GGGGAAUAUUGGACAAUGGGCGAAAGCCUGAUCCAGCCAUGCCGCGUGUGUGAAGAAGGUCUUCGGAUUGUAAAGCACUUUAAGUUGGGAGGAAGGGCUGCAAGUUAAUACCUUGUAGUUUUGACGUUACCAACAGAAUAAGCACCGGCUAACUUCGUGCCAGCAGCCGCGGUAAUACGAAGGGUGCAAGCGUUACUCGGAAUUACUGGGCGUAAAGCGUGCGUAGGUGGUCGUUUAAGUCCGUUGUGAAAGCCCUGGGCUCAACCUGGGAACUGCAGUGGAUACUGGGCGACUAGAGUGUGGUAGAGGGUGGUGGAAUUUCCUGUGUAGCGGUGAAAUGCGUAGAUAUAGGAAGGAACACCAGUGGCGAAGGCGACCACCUGGGCUAAUACUGACACUGAGGUGCGAAAGCGUGGGGAGCAAACA
This 426-nucleotide ribosomal RNA is filed under the name uncultured Pseudomonas sp. RNAcentral describes it as "bacterial SSU rRNA". It matches the Rfam family "Bacterial small subunit ribosomal RNA", at positions 356 to 774 of the family's 1533-position model. The record is from RNAcentral. Lineage: Bacteria; Pseudomonadati; Pseudomonadota; Gammaproteobacteria; Pseudomonadales; Pseudomonadaceae.